UGGGGAAUUUUGGACAAUGGGCGAAAGCCUGAUCCAGCAAUGCCGCGUGUGUGAAGAAGGCCUUCGGGUUGUAAAGCACUUUUGUCCGGAAAGAAAUCCUUGGCUCUAAUACAGUCGGGGGAUGACGGUACCGGAAGAAUAAGCACCGGCUAACUACGUGCCAGCAGCCGCGGUAAUACGUAGGGUGCAAGCGUUAAUCGGAAUUACUGGGCGUAAAGCGUGCGCAGGCGGUUUGCUAAGACCGAUGUGAAAUCCCCGGGCUCAACCUGGGAACUGCAUUGGUGACUGGCAGGCUAGAGUAUGGCAGAGGGGGGUAGAAUUCCACGUGUAGCAGUGAAAUGCGUAGAGAUGUGGAGGAAUACCGAUGGCGAAGGCAGCCCCCUGGGCAAUACUGACGCUCAUGCACGAAAGCGUGGGGAGCAAACAGGAUUAGAUACCCUGGUAGUCCACGCCCUAAACGAUGUCAACUAGUUGUUGGGGAUUCAUUUCCUAGUAACGUAGCUAACGCGUGAAGUUGACCGCCUGGGGAGUACGGUCGCAAGAUUAAAACUUAAAGGAAUUGACGGGGUCAUAGCUG
RNAcentral lists this ribosomal RNA (577 nucleotides) under uncultured bacterium. Its description in RNAcentral is "partial 16S ribosomal RNA". It matches the Rfam family "Bacterial small subunit ribosomal RNA", at positions 355 to 932 of the family's 1533-position model. The record is from RNAcentral.